RNAcentral lists this long non-coding RNA (3944 nucleotides) under Nicotiana benthamiana. Its description in RNAcentral is "long non-coding RNA (NBEN_LNC042224)". The record is from RNAcentral. Lineage: Eukaryota; Viridiplantae; Streptophyta; Magnoliopsida; Solanales; Solanaceae.
UGGAUGAUUCCUUCUAAUAACUACAACAUAUGGCAAUAGACAAAUGACGUAGACUAUGUGUUCUUUGAUCUUGUGAGUUAAAGAGUAAUAUUAUGUGAUGGAACCAAACAAGAGAGACAAAAUCAGCUUUUUGUAUAUUCCUAAUAGUCAACUCUUUACAAGAUGUUCUUCCACAAAAGUUCUUAUUCCCUUUUUGUUUCUCCUCCCUUCCUAUUUAUAAGGAAUAUCUCUAGAAAACCCUAUAAAAGUACAAUAUGGGGGUAUAUUCAGUAGAAUAUUCGUAUUCACAAUUCAAGAAAAGUCGUUUAACCCUCUACUUGACCUCGACACUGGUUUUUCCCUUUGAGCGACUUCUCGCCAUUGGACCGCACUUGAUUUCGACUUUGGCCUCACCUUGUUCAUCCAAAUCUGCUAAAGUAGACCUAAUUUUGAUCCCUACAAGUAUCAUAGCAUAAUCUUGGUUAUUCCUGCUGAUCAUUCUCUUCCCUCUCUUAGAGAAAUUAAUGCAACAUCUUUGUUACAGUACUUUGUGUAUUUGUGUUAGGUAGGUUUGCUAUAAACGUAUAAUGCAUUUAGUGGGGUCUCUAUCGACCAUUAACUUUGGGUUCAAGCGCUGGUAUGUAAGAUAGAAAUCCGUAGGGUAUACGAAAAGGAAUUUCCAUAUCAAUUAUUAAGACCUUUAUGCUUGAAGCUGAAUUAUCACAAUAUUUGGGAUUUCCUCUGCUCCAAAAUAUAAGUCGUUUGAUUUGGUUUAAGAUAGUUGGCAUUCUAAACAAUAAGAAGUCAUUUGUUAUUGUUCCAAUUAGUGGGGUGUUCAUUAUAUAUGAGACAUUUAAGAAGGAAUAUGAAGAUAUAUAGUUUACACAAAUUCUCUUAUAAUUUGAGACUAUAGUGUGCAGCAUCCAGUUUGGACCUGAAGUACUAUCAUGUACUCGUAAUCAGGAAGACCUGCAUCAGAGUCUUGAAUUGAUAGUUAUGAUAUAUAUUUUUAUAAUAAUAUCCCUAUAUAAUAGUUAUUCAUCAUAAAAAUUAAAUUUUUCUUAGAAUCGUUUUUUAAAGUUAUAUUUUACCUCUUAUAACAAUUUUUACCUAUAAUAUCAGCAAUCAUAUUUACAAUAGAAAACUAACAGUCAUAUAGAAUCUUUAAAAGUGCUAAUAAUAAUUCUAAAAUAUGUGCACAAUCUUUUCCAUUUAACAAAGUUUUCAUUUUGCAUAACACAAAAGAUUUUAAGAUUUGCACAUGAUAUAUUUUCCAUUGGAAAAAUACCAAAAAAUAUUUAUAUAGAACAUUUAAUUUGUAAGCUCUUAGAUUUUCUUCCAGCGAAAGCUAUUGAAUAUAUUUUUGGUGAAAAUUAAGGCACAAAUUUUUGCCAAUUCAAGUGUUAUAUCAGCUAUGAUUACAAAGUUCUUCCAUUAAUCUUGAAAGAAUAUACCCUCUAGCUUUAAAAUGUGUGCUUUAGAGUUUAAAUCUUUAUACAUUUGGUUAUGAAUUUAUUCAUAAUGUAUUACUCGCUUCGUUCCAGUUUAUGUGAACCUAUUUUCUUUUUGGUCCGUUCCAAAAAGAAUGUCCCCUUUCUAAAUUUAGAAAUAAUUUAGCGUAAACUUACAAUUCUACCCUUAAUGAAAAGCUUUUAUAACCACCUAAAUAAUCUGAGACCCUUUUAAACAUGUUUAGGACAACAAAUUCCAAAAGUCUUUAUUUUUUCUUAAAUUCUGUGCCUAGUCAAAUAGAUUCACAUAAAUUGGAACAGCGGGAGUAACUUUUUUCAAUAUUUAACAAGUGAAACAUGCAUAUAUUUUAAGAUUAUAAAUUUGAAUAAUUUUUUUUUAUCUUUUAUACUCCCUCCGUUUCAUAUUGUUUGAGGUAGUUUGACUCGACAUGGAGUUUAGGAAAAACGAAAUUUAGGAAAAAAGAAGAAAACUUUUGAAACUUGUGGUCUUAAAAGAAUAAGGGUUAAAAGGUUUGCGGGGCCAUGCCAUUUGUGUGGCUAUAAAAGCUUCUCAUUAAGGGGAAAAAUGGUAAAAUAAAGAGUUUAAAGUUGAAUUAUUUCCAAAUUUAGAAAUGUGUCGCUUAUUUUAGAACAGACUAAAAAAGAAAGUACCUCAUUUAAUAUGAACAGAGAGAGUACGUAACAAUGGAAAAGGAAAAUAGUUGAUUUUUGGAUAGUAUUUAUUUAUAACGGACAAAAAUAUUUAAAUCUCAAAUGUUGCUAUAGGUGUAUAAUAUCCAUCCACUAUAAAAACAAAAAAUAAUCAAAAAUAAAAAAUACUGUUAUAGAAAGGUUUGACUGCAUAGAGUUUCCUUGAAGAUUUGCAGUCAAUUAAUAGCCUAUUAAUGUGAAAAUAGAGAAGGUAUAGAAAGAUGAUCUAGCAUUUUACGAAAACCUUGCCGAACGUAUAUAUUUUUGCCCGAUCUUGGUUGAACAAAUAGAUCAGAUGAUUACUACUAGUCCCCAAGGUGAAGAAAAGCUUCAAUCUUGAUGGUUUUUACGUCUUGAAUCUUGAUGCAGGCCCAGCAUAUUUAUAUGAAAUAUAUAGCCUUAUUUUCUUCCACAACUAAGAACAGUUACAACUAACGGAAUUUACUGAGCACCAACGUCAUGAACCAUUAUAGGCUAGGGUAAUCUUGAAUUGCAUUUUGCCAGCUUGUACUGAUAUCUCUAUUUACCUAAUGCAAUAGCCCACAUGGGCCUAUUAUAGGCUUCUCCAAGAUUUUCUUGAUAUUGUUACACAAAAUGGCAAACAAAAUAAAAAUACUCGCAUUUUCCAUCUAUAAAUUCUCACUCAGUCGUUCAUUUCCAUCACCAAGUAAUCUCUUAGCUCUAGUAAUACACACAUUAGCCGCACUUCCCACAUUUUUAGUCUGAAUAAAAUGGCCAAGGCUACUGUAUCAUCCAUUGUCCUCCUCCUCACUUUGAACAUUCUCUUCUUCGCAAUGGUUAGUUCAACUUACAUCCCAUGCCCACCAAAAACAAAGAAUCAACCCCAUCCCACUACCCCAUCAUCCAAGGGUUAUAAGAAGUGCCAAAAGGACACACUAAAAUUGAAGGUGUGUGCCAAUUUAUUGAAUGACUUGGUGCAUGUUGUUAUUGGAAGCUCAUCAAAGAGUUCAUGCUGCUCUCUCAUUGAGAAUCUUGCUGAUGUUGAUGCUGCAGUUUGCCUUUGCACUGCCAUUAAAGCUAAGCUCUUGGGAACUAACCUUGAUACCGCUCUUUCCCUCAGCUUAUUGCUCAACAAUUGUGGAAAGACCGUCCCUAAAGACUUCCAAUGUGCAUAAAUGGCCAUCUUCCCACCCCAACUUGUUUGGUAAUGAGGCGUAGUUGUCUGUUUGUGGUGUUUGUUUUCUCCAUAAGAUUUUCGUCGGAGAUUUCAACUAAAAAAUAAUCAGUACUGAGUGUGUUUGUGCACGGUUGCUUAUUUUCUCAGGAAAUAUGUGGAAUUAUUCUAGUGCUUAGAAGUACUGAGUGUGUUUAUUCAUGGUUGCUUAUUUUCAAUGUGUUGUAUCCCAUAUUUAUUUGUAAUAAGAUGGUUAUGUUCUCACUAAGGAAAUAUAUUAUGAUUGAUCUCGGGAAAUCAAUUAUUGACAAGGUAUUGAUAUUAAGUUGCUUCUGUUUUUUUUUUCAGCGACGUGACAUUUUCAUCUGCCAAUUUGUUCUUUCCUUUUUCUUUUCGUCGAUUUUAAAUUUUGUAACUAGAAAGAAUACUAAAGUUUUAAAAACUGUUCUAAAUAAUUACCCGUACUUCUCUUGACUUCGUCCUAUAUUUAACCCUCGUAAGAAUACGAUCAAUGUGCGGUGGGACAGUUGAGAUACCUCUGCCCGCAGUUAGAAGUUUCGGAUUUGAACCAUAGAAACAGAAAACUUUCUUGUAGGGAGUGUAAGGUGUUAUCGUUUGUCCGUGUUCAAAGCAACGAGAAACUGGAAACCAGUAAGAAGAAGAGACAC